This 301-nucleotide ribosomal RNA is filed under the name uncultured bacterium. Its description in RNAcentral is "partial 16S ribosomal RNA". It matches the Rfam family "Bacterial small subunit ribosomal RNA", at positions 509 to 807 of the family's 1533-position model. The record is from RNAcentral.
CAGUCGCCACGGUAAUACGUAGGGUGCAAGCGUUGUCCGGAAUUAUUGGGCGUAAAGAGCUCGUAGGCGGUUUGUCGCGUCUGCUGUGAAAUCCCGAGGCUCAACCUCGGGCUUGCAGUGGGUACGGGCAGACUAGAGUGCGGUAGGGGAGAUUGGAAUUCCUGGUGUAGCGGUGGAAUGCGCAGAUAUCAGGAGGAACACCGAUGGCGAAGGCAGAUCUCUGGGCCGUAACUGACGCUGAGGAGCGAAAGCGUGGGGAGCGAACAGGAUUAGAGACCCCCGUAGUCCCUGUCUCUUAUAC